This 85-nucleotide transfer RNA is filed under the name Felis catus (domestic cat). It matches the Rfam family "tRNA". Rfam says of the family: Transfer RNA (tRNA) molecules are approximately 80 nucleotides in length. Their secondary structure includes four short double-helical elements and three loops (D, anti-codon, and T loops). The record is from Rfam by way of RNAcentral. Lineage: Eukaryota; Metazoa; Chordata; Mammalia; Carnivora; Felidae.
GCCUGGGUGGCUCAGUCUGUUGAGUGUCUGACUUUGGCUCAGGUUGUGCUCCCAGGGUUCAUGAGUUUGAGCCCCAUAUCAGGCU